This 100-nucleotide small RNA is filed under the name Marmota monax (woodchuck). The record is from RNAcentral. Lineage: Eukaryota; Metazoa; Chordata; Mammalia; Rodentia; Sciuridae.
GCUGGGCACGGUGGUGCACACCUGUAAUCUCAGCUACUUGGGAGCUGAGGCAGGAGGAUCAUAAGUUGGAGGCCAGCCUUACUGAUGCCCUGUCUUAAAU